GAUGAAGAACGCAGCGAAAUGCGAUAAGUAAUGUGAAUUGCAGAAUUCAGUGAAUCAUCGAAUCUUUGAACGCACAUUGCGCCCGCCAGUAUUCUGGCGGGCAUGCCUGUUCGAGCGUCAUUUCAACCCUCAAGCCCAGCUUGGUGUUGGGGAUCGGCACAGGCGCCCUCGGGCGCCCGCCGUCCCCUAAAUCUAGAGGCGGUCCCGCUGCAGCCUCCUCUGCGUAGUAGUUUUCUCCUCGCAAGGGCAGCUCGGUGGCGACCUCGCCGUAAAACCCCCAACUUCUGAAAGGUUGACCUCGAAUCAGGUAGGAAUACCCGCUGAACUUAAGCAUAUCAAUAAGCGGAGGA
RNAcentral lists this unclassified non-coding RNA (350 nucleotides) under soil metagenome. RNAcentral describes it as "partial contains 5.8S ribosomal RNA, internal transcribed spacer 2, and large subunit ribosomal RNA". The stretch from base 1 to 120 matches the Rfam family "5.8S ribosomal RNA", at positions 35 to 154 of the family's 154-position model. The record is from RNAcentral.